GACGAACGCUGGCGGCGUGCUUAACACAUGCAAGUCGAACGGAAAGGCCCUGCUUUUGUGGGGUGCUCGAGUGGCGAACGGGUGAGUAACACGUGAGUAACCUGCCCUUGACUUUGGGAUAACUUCAGGAAACUGGGGCUAAUACCGGAUAGGAGCUCCUGCUGCAUGGUGGGGGUUGGAAAGUUUCGGCGGUUGGGGAUGGACUCGCGGCUUAUCAGCUUGUUUGUGGGGUAGUGGCUUACCAAGGCUUUGACGGGUAGCCGGCCUGAGAGGCUGACCGGCGACAUUGGGACUGAGAUACGGACCAGAAUCCUACGGGAGGCAGCAGUGGGGAAUAUUGCACAAUGGGCGGAAGCCUGAUGCAGCAACGCCGCGUGCGGGAUGACGGCCUUCGGGUUGUAAACCGCUUUCGCCUGUGACGAAGCGUGAGUGACGGUAAUGGGUAAAGAAGCACCGGCUAACUACGUG
This 468-nucleotide ribosomal RNA is filed under the name uncultured bacterium. RNAcentral's name for it is "partial 16S ribosomal RNA". It matches the Rfam family "Bacterial small subunit ribosomal RNA", at positions 28 to 507 of the family's 1533-position model. The record is from RNAcentral.